Molecule: microRNA, 21 nt
Filed under: Xenopus tropicalis (tropical clawed frog)
Lineage: Eukaryota; Metazoa; Chordata; Amphibia; Anura; Pipidae
Description: xtr-miR-551b-3p
Gene: xtr-miR-551b-3p
Source: miRBase by way of RNAcentral
GGCGACCCAUACUUGGUUUCU